Molecule: ribosomal RNA, 350 nt
Filed under: uncultured Actinomycetes bacterium
Lineage: Bacteria; Bacillati; Actinomycetota; Actinomycetes
Description: SSU rRNA
Rfam family: Bacterial small subunit ribosomal RNA
Source: RNAcentral
AUGGCUGUCGUCAGCUCGUGCCGUGAGGUGUUGGGUUAAGUCCCGCAACGAGCGCAACCCCCACCCUAUGUUGCCAACGGUUCGGCCGGGCACUCUUAGGGAACUGCCGGCGAAGAGCUGGAAAGGGGGGGAUGACGUCAAGUCCGUAUGCCCCUUAUGUCCAGGGCUACACACAUGCUACGAUGGUCGGUACAGAGGGUUGCCAACCCGCAAGGGGGAGCCAAUCCCAGAAAGCCGAUCUCAGUUCGGAUUGCAGGCUGCAACUCGCCUGCAUGAAGUAGGAAUCGCUAGUAAGCGCAGAUCAGCAGGCUGCGCUGAAUACGUUCCCGGGCCUUGUACACACCGCCCGU